AUGAAAGGCAAAACAAAGCGGGUUUCUAAAAUAAUUCAGUUAACAGAAUCGCUAGACUCAUCUACUAAUUCAUGUGUGACUGACUUGCUAGUACUAUACUACACGAUGGGAAAGAGGUCCCAAAUUCAGUGUGAGAUGAGCUUACGAAUUCAGUUAACAAUGAACCUGAAUCUAUGCCUAUGUCUGAAGGGAAAGAAGAAGGUUGGGGCUUUGAGGAUGGAGGGAGGGAGGGACUGUCAGGGCGAUCCAGAAGGCGCCGACGAGGGGGACGGCGCCCCAGAGCAGGCCGCAGGCGAGCCCCACCGCCUGCCGGAUCCAAUGCACUGCGUCCAGCAGCUGUACCUUGUCCAAGUACGCGUCGGGGUCGAGGUACCGGAUGGGGUUCGCCUUGGCCUCGAUGCGGUCGCCGAGGCGGGCGGGCUUGAGGUGGUUGAUGUAGAGCUGCACGCCAGCCACCCUCCGGUACCCCGACGCCAUGUACCCGCCGAUGCUCGCCGUCGACUCCGCCAUCAGCGCCGGGACGCAGCCAUUGAGAAUCUUGAAGGGCUGCGACCAUCCUGA
This 561-nucleotide ribosomal RNA is filed under the name Triticum aestivum (bread wheat). Its description in RNAcentral is "partial small subunit ribosomal RNA". Lineage: Eukaryota; Viridiplantae; Streptophyta; Magnoliopsida; Poales; Poaceae. The record is from RNAcentral.